AUGUACUGGUAUGUACCGAUGCAUUCUGGCCAUAUCGGACUGUACCAGUAAAUAUUAGGGCUACCAUAUCGGCCAUACCGUUUGGUAACAAUGGUUUUUAAGUUUAGUUUCGGUAUGGACCAUCAUGAUCAAUACUGUGCCAUUGGAAGAAAGAUAUAGGGUUCCGUACUGGUAUUUAAAACCUUGAUAUCUAUAUCUAUAUACAUACAUAUAUAGAUAUCCACACACAUAUAUAAUUCUCUGUGGGAAGUGGUAUAAUUUUUCUGGAUUGUUAUAGUUUUUCCAAUGCUGAAAUGAGAAAUUGGUUUAGCUCUUAGUUCUAUUGUUGCAAUACUUAGUACUAUCAGAGAGCCAAUGGUAUAGUU
This 365-nucleotide long non-coding RNA is filed under the name Phoenix dactylifera (date palm). Its description in RNAcentral is "long non-coding RNA (PDAC_LNC004776)". Lineage: Eukaryota; Viridiplantae; Streptophyta; Magnoliopsida; Arecales; Arecaceae. The record is from RNAcentral.